RNAcentral lists this ribosomal RNA (248 nucleotides) under uncultured bacterium. RNAcentral describes it as "partial 16S ribosomal RNA". It matches the Rfam family "Bacterial small subunit ribosomal RNA", at positions 524 to 768 of the family's 1533-position model. The record is from RNAcentral.
UACGAAGGGGGCUAGCGUUGCUCGGAAUCACUGGGCGUAAAGGGUGCGUAGGCGGGUCUUUAAGUCAGGGGUGAAAUCCUGGAGCUCAACCUACCAGUACGUCGUCUUGAUACUGAGGAUCUUGAGUUCGGGAGAGGUGAGUGGAACUGCGAGUGUAGAGGUGAAAUUCGUAGAUAUUCGCAAGAACACCAGUGGCGAAGGCGGCUCACUGGCCCGAUACUGACGCUGAGGCACGAAAGCGUGGGGAG